UACGGGGGGGGCAAGCGUUGUUCGGAAUUACUGGGCGUAAAGGGUUCGUAGGUGGCUCGCUAAGUCAGACGUGAAACCCCUCAGCUUAACUGGGGAACUGCGUCUGAGACUGGCGAGCUCGAGUGCAGGAGAGGAACGCGGAAUUCCAGGUGUAGCGGUGAAAUGCGUAGAUAUCUGGAGGAACACCGGUGGCGAAGGCGGCGUUCUGGACCGAGAUUGACGCUGAUGAGCGAAAGCUAGGGGAGCAAACGGG
This 253-nucleotide ribosomal RNA is filed under the name uncultured bacterium. RNAcentral describes it as "partial 16S ribosomal RNA". It matches the Rfam family "Bacterial small subunit ribosomal RNA", at positions 524 to 776 of the family's 1533-position model. The record is from RNAcentral.